Molecule: ribosomal RNA, 493 nt
Filed under: uncultured bacterium
Lineage: Bacteria
Description: partial 16S ribosomal RNA
Rfam family: Bacterial small subunit ribosomal RNA
Source: RNAcentral
AUUGAACGCUGGCAGCAUGCUUUACACAUGCAAGUCGAACGGUAACAGGUUAAGCUGACGAGUGGUGAACGGGUGAGUAAUGCAUCGGAACGUGCCCGAUCGUGGGGGAUAACGCAGCGAAAGCUGCGCUAAUACCGCAUACGACCUGAGGAUGAAAGCGGGGGACCGUAAGGCCUCGCGCGAUCGGAGCGGCCGAUGUCAGAUUAGGUAGUUGGUGGGGUAAAGGCUCACCAAGCCGACGAUCCGUAGCUGGUCUGAGAGGACGACCAGCCACACUGGGACUGAGACACGGCCCAGACUCCUACGGGAGGCAGCAGUGGGGAAUUUUGGACAAUGGGCGCAAGCCUGAUCCAGCAAUGCCGCGUGCAGGAAGAAGGCCUUCGGGUUGUAAACUGCUUUUGUACGGAGCGAAAAGGCUCUCUCUAAUACAGGGGGCUCAUGACGGUACCGUAAGAAUAAGCACCGGCUAACUACGUGCCAGCAGCCGCCGUAA